Molecule: long non-coding RNA, 176 nt
Organism: Telopea speciosissima
Lineage: Eukaryota; Viridiplantae; Streptophyta; Magnoliopsida; Proteales; Proteaceae
Exons: 2
Source: RefSeq, a predicted model, not a curated record
UCAAGCCCCGGUCAGUGAUUCCUUUGGUAAUGCUGUUGUAUCUGGUGGUGUAUUGAAUAAUUUAGUGUCAUCGCCUGAGAAAAGAGGAAAGGGUCGACCGCGAAAGGCUGAUGGAACGCCAAAAAGACCGGUUGGGCGGCCUAAGAAGAUAAAUAUGACUCCUACGGUGGAGACGG